RNAcentral lists this ribosomal RNA (468 nucleotides) under uncultured bacterium. RNAcentral's name for it is "partial 16S ribosomal RNA". It matches the Rfam family "Bacterial small subunit ribosomal RNA", at positions 28 to 507 of the family's 1533-position model. The record is from RNAcentral.
GACGAACGCUGGCGGCGUGCUUAACACAUGCAAGUCGAACGGAAAGGCCCUGCUUUUGUUGGGUGCUCGAGUGGCGAACGUGUGAGUAACACGUGAGUAACCUGCCCUUGACUUUGGGAUAACUUCAGGAAACUUGGGCUAAUACCGGAUUGGAGCUCCUGCUGCAUGUUGGGUGUUGGAAAGUUUAGGCGGUUGGGGAUGGACUCGCGGCUUAUCAGCUUGUUGGUGGGGUAGUGGCUUACCAAGGCUUUGACGGGUAGCCGGCCUGAGAGGGUGACCGGCCAAAUUGGGACUGAGAUAAGGCCCAUACUUCUACGGGAGGCCACAGUGGGGAAUAAUGCACAAUGGGAGGAAGACUGAUGCAGAACAGCCGCGUGCGGGAUGACGGCCUUCGGGUUGUAAACCGCUUUCGCCUGUGACGAAGCGUGAGUGACGGUAAUGGGUAAAGAAGCACCGGCUAACUACGUG